GAAGGCUAGGGGGCUUCACCGCCUACCAACCCUUAACAAACUCUGAAUGCCAACAAUUAGCAGCGGCAGUGAGCCCCAGGGUGCGAAGGUCAUGGGGCGAGAGGGGAACAACCCAGACCAUCAGCUAAGGUCCCUAAAUAUAGUUAAGUUGCAUUAAACGAGGUGGGAAUGCACAGACAGCUAGGAUGUUUGCUUGGAAGCAGCAAUUCAUUUAAAGAGUGCGUAACAGCUCACUAGUCGAGCGUUCCUGCGCGGAAAAUAAGCGGGCAUCAAACUAUAUACCGAAGCUAUGGACUUAAGAGAUUAAGUGGUAGGGGAGCAUUCAGUCGGGUUGAAGCGGGAUGGUGAUGUUCCGUGGACUGAACUGAAAAGCAAAUGUAGGCAUAAGUAACGAUAAAUGGCGUGGAAAACGUCAUCGCCGUAAGACUAAGGGUUCCUUGAUCUACGUUCAUCGGAUCAGGGUUAGCCGGGACCUAAGGAUAAGCCGAAAGGUGAUUUCGAUGGAAAGUGGGUUAAUAUUCCUACGCCUGUAUAUAUUGCGAGUUGGGGACGGAGUUGAAGAGUCAUCGCGUACUUACGGAAUAGUACGUUAAAGCGCAAGCGAUAGUACGCCGAGGACUUCGGUUCGAGGUGAUAGUGUGGUGAAUUGACUUCCAGGAAAAGCCGACAAAGCAUCAGGUAUAUACAGCCCGUACCGUAAACCGACACAGGUAGUCGAGGAGAGCAUCCUAAGGCGCUCGAGUGAUUCGUGGCUAAGGAACUAGGCAAAAUGGUCUCGUAACUUCGGGAGAAGAGACGCUGGCAGCAAUGUCAGCCGCAGUGAAGAGGCCCAGGCGACUGUUUAGCAAAAACACAGGGCUAUGCCAAAUCGUAAGAUGAUGUAUAUGGCCUGACACCUGCCCGGUGCCGGAAGGUUAAGGAAGGGGCUUAGUGCGCAAGUGCGAAGGUCUUAACUGAAGCCCCGGUAAACGGCGGCCGUAACUAUAACGGUCCUAAGGUAGCGAAAUUCCUUGUCGGGUAAGUUCCGACCUGCACGAAUGGUGUAACGAUCUGGGCACUGUCUCAGCCACGAGCUCGGUGAAAUUGAAGUAUCGGUGAAGAUGCCGAUUACCCGCAACGGGACGGAAAGACCCCGUGAACCUUUACUACAGCUUUGCAUUGGGCUUGACUAUUCGAUGCGUAGGAUAGGUGGGAGGCGCUGAUCUUGGUAUUCCGGUACUGAGGGAGUCGACGUUGAAAUACCACCCUUUGACUAGUUGAGUCCUAACGGAGAAAUCCAGACAGUGCAUGGUGGGUAGUUUGACUGGGGUGGUCGCCUCCUAAAGAGUAACGGAGGCUUGCAAAGGUACCCUCAGCAUGGACGGUAAUCAUGCGAAGAGCGUAUUAGUAUAAGGGUGCUUGACUGAGAGACCGACGGGUCGAUCAGGGACGAAAGUCGGCUAAAGUGAUCCGGUGGUUCCGCAUGGAAGGGCCAUCGCUCAAAGGAUAAAA
RNAcentral lists this ribosomal RNA (1491 nucleotides) under activated sludge metagenome. RNAcentral's name for it is "bacterial LSU rRNA". It matches the Rfam family "Bacterial large subunit ribosomal RNA", at positions 914 to 2461 of the family's 2925-position model. The record is from RNAcentral.